This 485-nucleotide ribosomal RNA is filed under the name uncultured bacterium. RNAcentral's name for it is "partial 16S ribosomal RNA". It matches the Rfam family "Bacterial small subunit ribosomal RNA", at positions 30 to 507 of the family's 1533-position model. The record is from RNAcentral.
UUGAACGCUGGCGGCAUGCCUUACCCAUGCCAGUCGAACGGCAGCACGGGUGCUUGCCCCUGGUGGCGAGUGGCGAACGGGUGAGUAAUACAUCGGAACAUGUCCUGUAGUGGGGGAUAGCCCGGCGAAAGCCGGAUUAAUACCGCAUACGAUCUACGGAUGAAAGCGGGGGACCUUCGGGCCUCGCGCUAUAGGGUUGGCCGAUGGCUGAUUAGCUAGUUGGUGGGGUAAAGGCCUACCAAGGCGACGAUCAGUAGCUGGUCUGAGAGGACGACCAGCCACACUGGGACUGAGACACGGCCCAGACUCCUACGGGAGGCAGCAGUGGGGAAUUUUGGACAAUGGGCGAAAGCCUGAUCCAGCAAUGCCGCGUGUGUGAAGAAGGCCUUCGGGUUGUAAAGCACUUUUGUCCGGAAAGAAAUCCUUGGCCCUAAUACGGUCGGGGGAUGACGGUACCGGAAGAAUAAGCACCGGCUAACUACGUG